CUCACCUACGGGACGCAGCAGUGGGGAAUAUUGCACAAUGGGGGAAACCCUGAUGCAGCGACGCCGCGUGAGUGAGGAAGUAUUUCGGUAUGUAAAGCUCUAUCAGCAGGGAAGAAAAUGACGGUACCUGACUAAGAAGCCCCGGCUAACUACGUGCCAGCAGCCGCGGUAAUACGUAGGGGGCGUGCGUUAUCCGGAUUUACUGGGUGUAAAGUGAGCGUAGACGGCGUCGCACGUCUG
RNAcentral lists this ribosomal RNA (240 nucleotides) under uncultured bacterium. RNAcentral describes it as "partial 16S ribosomal RNA". It matches the Rfam family "Bacterial small subunit ribosomal RNA", at positions 332 to 591 of the family's 1533-position model. The record is from RNAcentral.